This 554-nucleotide ribosomal RNA is filed under the name Aureobasidium sp. RNAcentral's name for it is "eukaryotic LSU rRNA". The stretch from base 197 to 350 matches the Rfam family "5.8S ribosomal RNA". Lineage: Eukaryota; Fungi; Ascomycota; Dothideomycetes; Dothideales; Saccotheciaceae. The record is from RNAcentral.
UGCGGAAGGAUCAUUAAAGAGUAAGGGUGCUCAGCGCCCGACCUCCAACCCUUUGUUGUUAAAACUACCUUGUUGCUUUGGCGGGACCGCUCGGUCUCGAGCCGCUGGGGAUUCGUCCCAGGCGAGCGCCCGCCAGAGUUAAACCAAACUCUUGUUAUUAAACCGGUCGUCUGAGUUAAAAUUUUGAAUAAAUCAAAACUUUCAACAACGGAUCUCUUGGUUCUCGCAUCGAUGAAGAACGCAGCGAAAUGCGAUAAGUAAUGUGAAUUGCAGAAUUCAGUGAAUCAUCGAAUCUUUGAACGCACAUUGCGCCCCUUGGUAUUCCGAGGGGCAUGCCUGUUCGAGCGUCAUUACACCACUCAAGCUAUGCUUGGUAUUGGGUGCCGUCCUUAGUUGGGCGCGCCUUAAAGACCUCGGCGAGGCCUCACCGGCUUUAGGCGUAGUAGAAUUUAUUCGAACGUCUGUCAAAGGAGAGGAACUUCUGCCGACUGAAACCUUUUAUUUUUCUAGGUUGACCUCGGAUCAGGUAGGGAUACCCGCUGAACUUAAGCAUA